AAACGCUGCUGCUUGUCCUUCAGCUGAAUUUGAGACUUGGUGGAACUCACAGCAUGAAAAUAUUCAUGAAAUACACACCGAUAAGAAAUAACCUCAAAACUAACAACAGACUUACUGCUUACAAGCAUGGGUCCCUGGUGGUGCAGGCCUAUAAAACCCACACAGCCCAUCUCUGUAGAGGUCAUCUGAGCUUUGGUGUCACCUGUCAGUCGAUGUAGGUGUAUCUGUUCCCUAACACCCAGGGGACGACAAGUCCAUUAAUGCCUUAUUGUGUGCAUGUAUAAGGUAAACAAAACCCGUACACCCUGGAAAGAGUAUGAACUUCCAUAUUCCAGGCUACAUGUCCG
Ictalurus punctatus (channel catfish) is the source of this 347-nucleotide long non-coding RNA. The record is from Ensembl. Lineage: Eukaryota; Metazoa; Chordata; Actinopteri; Siluriformes; Ictaluridae.